This 69-nucleotide transfer RNA is filed under the name Ictidomys tridecemlineatus (thirteen-lined ground squirrel). Its description in RNAcentral is "Spermophilus tridecemlineatus (thirteen-lined ground squirrel) tRNA". It matches the Rfam family "tRNA". From Rfam's summary of the family: Transfer RNA (tRNA) molecules are approximately 80 nucleotides in length. The record is from Rfam by way of RNAcentral. Lineage: Eukaryota; Metazoa; Chordata; Mammalia; Rodentia; Sciuridae.
GGGGUUGUAGCUCAGUGGUGAGCGCUUGCCUUGCAAGCAUGAGGCACUGGGUUCCAUCCUCCAGCACCA